GUGAGGAAUAUUGCGCAAUGGAGGCAACUCUGACGCAGCCAUGCCGCGUGCAGGAAGAAGGCGCUACGCGUUGUAAACUGCUUUUAACCGGAAAGAAACCCCAGGACGUGUCCUGGGUUGACGGUACCGGAGGAAUAAGCACCGGCUAACUUCGUGCCAGCAGCCGCGGUAAUACGAAGGGUGCAAGCGUUAUCCGGAUUCAUUGGGUUUAAAGGGUGCGUAGGCGGAGCGUUAAGUCAGUGGUGAAAUCCUGCAGCUUAACUGUAGACUUGCCAUUGAUACUGGCGCUCUUGAGUGCGCUUGAAGUGGGCGGAAUGUGCCGUGUAGCGGUGAAAUGCUUAGAUAUGGCACAGAACACCAAUUGCGAAGGCAGCUCACUAAGGCGAUACUGACGCUGAGGCACGAAAGCGUGGGGAUCGAACAGGAUUAGAUACCCUGGUAGUCC
RNAcentral lists this ribosomal RNA (445 nucleotides) under uncultured bacterium. RNAcentral's name for it is "bacterial SSU rRNA". It matches the Rfam family "Bacterial small subunit ribosomal RNA", at positions 354 to 796 of the family's 1533-position model. The record is from RNAcentral.